AUUGAACGCUGGCGGCAUGCCUUACACAUGCAAGUCGAACGGCAGCACGGGAUUCAGGCAACUGAGCCCUGGUGGCGAGCGGCGAACGGGUGAGUAACACGUGGGUGACCUGCCCUCAGCUCUGGGAUAAGCCUGGGAAACUGGGUCUAAUACUGGAUAUGACUCCACGGUGCAUGUCGUGGGGUGGAAAGCCUUGUGCGGCUGAGGANGGGCCCGCGGCCUAUCAGCUUGUUGGUGGGGUGAUGGCCUACCAAGGCGACGACGGGUAGCCGGCCUGAGAGGGCGACCGGCCACACUGGGACUGAGACACGGCCCAGACUCCUACGGGAGGCAGCAGUGGGGAAUCUUGCGCAAAUGGGCGAAAGCCUGACGCAGCGACGCCGCGUGAGGGAUGACGCC
RNAcentral lists this ribosomal RNA (399 nucleotides) under uncultured bacterium. RNAcentral describes it as "bacterial SSU rRNA". It matches the Rfam family "Bacterial small subunit ribosomal RNA", at positions 28 to 415 of the family's 1533-position model. The record is from RNAcentral.